AUAUUGGUCAAUGGGCGCAGGCCUGAACCAGCCAAGUCGCGUGAGGGAUGACGGUCCUACGGAUUGUAAACUUCUUUUGUGCGGGGAGUAACGUCGGGACGCGUCCCGUAUUGAGUGUACCCGAAGAAUAAGCAUCGGCUAACUCCGUGCCAGCAGCCGCGGUAAUACGGAGGAUGCGAGCGUUAUCCGGAUUUAUUGGGUUUAAAGGGUGCGCAGGCGGCGCGCCAAGUCAGCGGUCAAAGUUCCGGGCUCAACCCGGUGUCGCCGUUGAAACUGGCGUGCUCGAGUGCGUGCGAGGAAGGCGGAAUGCGUUGUGUAGCGGUGAAAUGCAUAGAUAUGACGCAGAACUCCGAUUGCGAAGGCAGCAUACCAACUCGCGACUGACGCUGAGGCUCGAAAGCGUGGGUAUCGAACAGGAUUAGAUACCCUGGUAGUCCACGCAGUAAACGAUGACUACUAGCUUUCCGGGAUGAUUGAGUCCUGGGAGGCACAGCGAAAGCGUUAAGUAGUCCACCUGGGGAGUACGCCGGCAACGGUGAAACUCAAAGGAAUUGACGGGGGCCCGCACAAGCGGAGGAACAUGUGGUUUAAUUCGAUGAUACGCGAGGAACCUUACCCGGGCUCAAACGACAGCGGACAGCUCCUGAAAGGGGGUCUCCGGCAACGGCCGCUGUCGAGGUGCUGCAUGGUUGUCGUCAGCUCGUGCCGUGAGGUGUCGGCUUAAGUGCCAUAACGAGCGCAACCCCCAUCUCCAGUUGCCACCGGGUCAUGCCGGGCACUCUGGAGGGACUGCCAGCGCAAGCUGCGAGGAAGGCGGGGAUGACGUCAAAUCAGCACGGCCC
This 842-nucleotide ribosomal RNA is filed under the name human gut metagenome. Its description in RNAcentral is "bacterial SSU rRNA". It matches the Rfam family "Bacterial small subunit ribosomal RNA", at positions 361 to 1201 of the family's 1533-position model. The record is from RNAcentral.